RNAcentral lists this ribosomal RNA (252 nucleotides) under uncultured bacterium. RNAcentral describes it as "partial 16S ribosomal RNA". It matches the Rfam family "Bacterial small subunit ribosomal RNA", at positions 524 to 776 of the family's 1533-position model. The record is from RNAcentral.
UACGGAGGAUGCGAGCGUUAUCCGGAUUUAUUGGGUUUAAAGGGUGCGUAGGCGGACGCCUAAGUCAGCGGUAAAAUUGCGGGGCUCAACCUCGUCGAGCCGUUGAAACUGGGCGCCUUGAGUGGGCGAGAAGUACGCGGAAUGCGUGGUGUAGCGGUGAAAUGCAUAGAUAUCACGCAGAACUCCGAUUGCGAAGGCAGCGUACCGGCGCCCAACUGACGCUGAAGCACGAAGGCGUGGGUAUCGAACAGG